Molecule: long non-coding RNA, 960 nt
Organism: Oncorhynchus tshawytscha (Chinook salmon)
Lineage: Eukaryota; Metazoa; Chordata; Actinopteri; Salmoniformes; Salmonidae
Source: Ensembl
GUUUGUCAGACCAGGAGAGAUUCCAUCUACGGUGACAGGUGACAGCUAGAGUGGUGUUUGUCAGACCAGGAGAGAUUCCAUCUACGGUGACAGGUGACAGCUAGAGUGGUGUUUGUCAGACCAGGAGAGAUUCCAUCUAUGGUGACAGGUGACAGCUAGAGUGGUGUUUGUCAGACCAGGAGAGAUUCCAUCUACGGUGACAGGUGACAGCUAGAGCGGUGUUUGUCAGACCAGGAGAGAUUCCAUCUAUGGUGAAAGGUGACAGAUAGUGGUGUUUGUCAGACCAGGAGAGAUUCCAUCUAUGGUGAAAGGUGACAGAUAGUGGUGUUUGUCAGACCAGGAGAGAUUCCAUCUACGGUGAAAGGUGACAGCUAGAGCGGUGUUUGUCAGACCAGGAGAGAUUCCAUCUACGGUGAAAGGUGACAGCUAGAGCGGUGUUUGUCAGACCAGGAGAGAUUCCAUCUACGGUGACAGGUGACAGCUAGAGCGGUGUUUGUCAGGCCAGGAGAGAUUCCAUCUACGGUGAAAGGUGACAGCUAGAGCGGUGUUUGUCAGACCAGGAGAGAUUCCAUCUACGGUGAAAGGUGACAGCUAGAGCGGUGUUUGUCAGGCCAGGAGAGAUUCCAUCUACGGUGACAGGUGACAGCUAGAGCGGUGUUUGUCAGACCAGGAGAGAUUCCAUCUACGGUGAAAGGUGACAGCUAGAGCGGUGUUUGUCAGGCCAUGAGACAACACAAAAAUCUGUCUUCUCACAAAAUUGCCUUUAGCAUCCGAACGGUUUUGCUCUGACUCCCACAAGCAUCUUGGGACUCAUCUGAAUUCGGUAGAGCUGAUCUGCCAACUACUGUCUCUCCGAACAGUUUGGACCCCUCCUGGAAAGGUGAGAUUCAAGACUCGUCUGAAGGUCCCCCGGCACCAGUUGAAAAAAUGUAUGGAAGUGUAUAUGGAGUCUGUUUCGUG